AGAGACGUGAAACCGCUUAGGGGUUAAACCCCGAUGAACCUGAAUAUCUGAAAUGAGAAAUUCAUCAGCGAGCAUAUUUAAUGGCUGUCAUUAGACAGCGUUCUAUAUUGUUUACUGUGCAAUUUUCUCAUAGUAAGACAUUGCAAUUUAUUAGUAAAUAUAUGGAUUUUCAUAAUCCUUAUAGUUUAUUAUCGGAUGAUGGUAACAUGUUUAUAUGAUUUAGUUUACUGUCACAGGUAAACGGUCGUAUAAGGUUGAAGUCAUCCAAAUAAACGGCUGAUAAAUUUAUAUAAGAAAACCAUGCUGUUACGAUCAUUUAUGAUUGUGGUUGCCCUGUUUUGCAAAAUCUUUUUUGUAUACAGGCGUUAGCAUGUGUUUGAUUAGCAAUGCGAUAGAUUUGGGAUACCUUCGGGACCCGUCUUGAAACACGGACCAAGAAGUCUAACAUAUGUGCAAGUCAUUGGGUAACUUAUUGAAACCUAAAGGCAUAAUUAAUAUAACUAUAUUAUAUAAUGGGAUUAGAAGUGGCAUAUGCAACAGCAUAUCCAUUUUUCCAUCCCGGGGCGUUCAUUUAACAUAGUUUAAGCAAUUGAACUCUCUGUUAAAGGGCGUACCUUGAGCAUAUAUGCUAUGACCCGAA
RNAcentral lists this ribosomal RNA (640 nucleotides) under Paramanota orientalis. RNAcentral describes it as "eukaryotic LSU rRNA". It matches the Rfam family "Eukaryotic large subunit ribosomal RNA", at positions 386 to 820 of the family's 3401-position model. Lineage: Eukaryota; Metazoa; Arthropoda; Insecta; Diptera; Mycetophilidae. The record is from RNAcentral.